RNAcentral lists this ribosomal RNA (274 nucleotides) under uncultured bacterium. RNAcentral's name for it is "partial 16S ribosomal RNA". It matches the Rfam family "Bacterial small subunit ribosomal RNA", at positions 335 to 626 of the family's 1533-position model. The record is from RNAcentral.
UUUCCUACGGGACGCAGCAGUGGGGGAUAUUGCACAAUGGGGGGAACCCUGAUGCAGCGACGCCGCGUGGGUGAAGGAGCGUUUCGGCGCGUAAAGCCCUAUCGGCAGGGAAGAAGAUGACGGUACCUGACUAAGAAGCCCCGGCUAACUACGUGCCAGCAGCCGCGGCAAUACGUAGGGGGCAAGCGUUAUCCGGAUUUACUGGGUGUAAAGGGAGCGUAGACGGCAGAGCAAGUCUGGAGUUAAAGCCCGCGGCCCAACUGCGGGACUGCUU